Molecule: ribosomal RNA, 465 nt
Filed under: uncultured bacterium
Lineage: Bacteria
Description: partial 16S ribosomal RNA
Rfam family: Bacterial small subunit ribosomal RNA
Source: RNAcentral
GACGAACGCUGGCGGCGUGCUUAACACAUGCAAGUCGUACGGUAAGGCCCUUUCGGGGGUACACGAGUGGCGAACGGGUGAGUAACACGUGAGUAACCUGCCCACAACUUUGGGAUAACGCCAGGAAACUGGUGCGAAUACUGGAUAUGUGCUCCUGCUGCAUGGUGGGGGGUGGAAAGCUCCGGCGGUUGUGGAUGGACUCGCGGCCUAUCAGCUUGUUGGUGGGGUAGUGGCCUACCAAGGCGGCGACGGGUAGCCGGCCUGAGAGGGUGACCGGCCACAUUGGGACUGAGAUACGGCCCCGACUCCUACGGGAGGCAGCAGUGGGGAAUAUUGCACAAUGGGCGCAAGCCUGAUGCAGCAACGCCGCGUGCGGGAUGACGGCCUUCGGGUUGUAAACCGCUUUCAGCAGGGACGAAGCUUUUUGUGACGGUACCUGCAGAAGAAGCACCGGCUAACUACGUG